ACCCACCUUUCCUUACCUGACGUGCAACAUGCUUCCGGUUGUUUAGAACACCUGUGGAAAGUGGAAAGAACGUUCGCCAUUUUCUCCCUUUUCAACUGCGUAGUCUGCACAAGCACAAGAAUCGCUGGGGAAAGACUGGCCUACAUGAGAGAGAUCUACAAAAUUCCCCUGGAUAAUUUCACCAGGCAUUCAUUGACAAAAAGUGAGUCAAUGGAACACUUGGAGCAUUUUCAUGGGAAACGGACCCCUGUCCACCAAGAUGAGGGCUGUACAUCUGAACAAUACAUCUACAAGGAGAAGUUGGGUGGGCUCCAACCGGACACCGGCCAACGCCAUUGGAAACACCAUCCGGCAUUUCAUAUUAUAGGAUGCUAACUACCAGAGUAAUGAACCAUCAUUCCUGGAACAUGGCUUUCAACCACAUCCGGGGAUGAAGAAACUGUGUGUGUGUGUGUGUGUGGGGGGUUGAAUUUCAAUUAAAUGUUAGGAUUACGUCGGCAUUUUGCACAUCAGUUUUAAUAUUGAGACUCAAUGUGCUUUCAUAGGUCUGGCAGCUUGCCCUUUUGUUCUUAGCUAUGAAAACAUAGGUCAGUCAAAAGGAAGGCAAUAAUGGCAAUGCCAGCCAAACUAGGCAUGCAUUAA
This is a long non-coding RNA of Alosa sapidissima (American shad), 642 nucleotides long. RefSeq lists it as uncharacterized. The record is from RefSeq and is a predicted model, not a curated record. NCBI's taxonomy places the organism in Eukaryota, Metazoa, Chordata, Actinopteri, Clupeiformes, Clupeidae. The transcript has 5 exons.